GAGGGUAUAACCUAAGUGGCAGAGUGCAUGCUUAGCAUGCAUGAGGUCCUGGGUUCAAUCCCCAGUGCCUCCU
This 73-nucleotide transfer RNA is filed under the name Camelus bactrianus (Bactrian camel). It matches the Rfam family "tRNA". Rfam says of the family: Transfer RNA (tRNA) molecules are approximately 80 nucleotides in length. Their secondary structure includes four short double-helical elements and three loops (D, anti-codon, and T loops). Lineage: Eukaryota; Metazoa; Chordata; Mammalia; Artiodactyla; Camelidae. RNAcentral also lists the same sequence under 2 other names. The record is from Rfam by way of RNAcentral.